This 428-nucleotide ribosomal RNA is filed under the name Bacteroidota bacterium. Its description in RNAcentral is "Bacteroidetes bacterium partial 16S ribosomal RNA". It matches the Rfam family "Bacterial small subunit ribosomal RNA", at positions 355 to 775 of the family's 1533-position model. The record is from RNAcentral. Lineage: Bacteria; Pseudomonadati; Bacteroidota.
UAGGGAAUCUUCCGCAAUGGACGCAAGUCUGACGGAGCAACGCCGCGUGAGUGAAGAAGGAUUUCGGUUCGUAAAACUCUGUUGUUAGAGAAGAACAGCGCAUAGAGUAACUGUUAUGCGUGUGACGGUAUCUAACCAGAAAGCCACGGCUAACUACGUGCCAGCAGCCGCGGUAAUACGUAGGUGGCAAGCGUUGUCCGGAUUUAUUGGGCGUAAAGCGAGCGCAGGCGGUCAAUUAAGUCUGAUGUGAAAGCCCCCGGCUCAACCGGGGAGGGUCAUUGGAAACUGGUUGACUUGAGUGCGGAAGAGGGGAGUGGAAUUCCAGGUGUAGCGGUGAAAUGCGUAGAUAUAUGGAGGAACACCGGUGGCGAAAGCGGCUCUCUGGUCUGUAACUGACGCUGAGGCUCGAAAGCGUGGGGAGCAAACAG